AGUGAUCCUAUGCUGUGAUACUGUGUCUGUUUGCCGCAACCUAUCUUAAAUUAUCUUUGUUUACAAGUCAGUUUGUUUUCCAGUGCUGCAAACCUCAAAGGAGAGUGAAAAAUCAGGACUUUUUUUUUCCAUUCAUGAUUUUUCCUCCCUGCUAGCAAAGAACUUGAGAGAUGUCCCAUUUCCCAUGUGUCAUCUGUGGCAGGAACAUUCAGCUGGAAAUUUUGCCAGUAUGGAUUCUGAGCCUCUUCAACAUCCGUUGGGAAGUGUGGCAGCCUGGUGAGAGACUUCUUGUUAGGUCUGCCGAGGCUAUUGCGUGUCCAAAAGUUCAAGAGAACACUUGGUUGUUGUGUGGUGUGCAGGAAGGCUGACCCUAUGCAAAGAACUGAUCUUGAUGCGUAGGACUGAGGUUAUCGAGAGAACUUAAAAUAAAUAAAUAAGAAGCCCUCUGUGAAGACA
RNAcentral lists this long non-coding RNA (456 nucleotides) under Struthio camelus australis. RNAcentral's name for it is "lncRNA (ENSSCUG00000007134.1)". The record is from RNAcentral. Lineage: Eukaryota; Metazoa; Chordata; Aves; Struthioniformes; Struthionidae.